UUUUUUUCUUUUUCCUGUUUCAGGAUCCUUUCAGGGAACUUUAUUUAUUCAUUUAUGUCUCCUUAGGUUCCUGUUGUCUAUGCCAGUUUCUCCGACCUUCCUUGUGUUUGGUGAUCCAGACAGUUUUGAAGAACACUGAUAAGGCAUUUCCUUCAAUGACUGUUUUGCAUGGAAAAUUCAUCUUGUCAUCUGCCUUUCAGAGGAUCAAAUUUGGCCAGCAGCAGUCCAACUUAAAUCAAGAGUUGUAAUAUGAUAAUGAAGGAGAGAUCCAUACUGGGGAGCCAUCAUCUGUCUCUGAUGUAAGUACCAUGUCUGCAAUAGUUUUUCAGAACAUAUAAUAACAUUUAAAAAUCAGCU
Molecule: long non-coding RNA, 357 nt
Organism: Mustela putorius furo (domestic ferret)
Lineage: Eukaryota; Metazoa; Chordata; Mammalia; Carnivora; Mustelidae
Source: Ensembl